This is a small nucleolar RNA of Jaculus jaculus (lesser Egyptian jerboa), 130 nucleotides long. NCBI's taxonomy places the organism in Eukaryota, Metazoa, Chordata, Mammalia, Rodentia, Dipodidae. The record is from Ensembl.
AACCCAGCGAAUUAAGCUGCUUAUCUCAAUGCAUUUUUGCAGAAAUUUAGAAACAGCUGGCAAUAGUGAUGACAUUUUAUGAGCUUUAAGAACAACUGAGGUCAUUACUGUCCUCAAAAUGGCUGCAAUA